RNAcentral lists this ribosomal RNA (783 nucleotides) under uncultured bacterium. RNAcentral's name for it is "bacterial SSU rRNA". It matches the Rfam family "Bacterial small subunit ribosomal RNA", at positions 62 to 878 of the family's 1533-position model. The record is from RNAcentral.
UCGAACGAGAAAGUGGAGCAUCCAUGAGUACAGUGGCGUACGGGUGAGUAACACGUGGAUAACCUGCCCCUUUGUGGGGAAUACCGUUGGGAAACCGACGACAAUACCGCAUAAGCUCGAGAGAGGAAAGCAGCAAUGCGCAGAGGGAGGGGUCCGCGGUCGAUUAGCUAGUUGGUGAGGUAAUGGCUCACCAAGGCUGUGAUCGAUAGCCGGCCUGAGAGGGCACACGGCCACACUGGCACUGAAACACGGGCCAGACUCCUACGGGAGGCAGCAGUGGGGAAUCUUGCACAAUGGGGGAAACCCUGAUGCAGCGACGCCGCGUGAGCGAUGAAGCCCUUCGGGGUGUAAAGCUCUUUCGGCAGGGAAGAUUAUGACGGUACCUGCAGAAGCAGCUGCGGCUAACUACGUGCCAGCAGCCGCGGUAAUACGUAGGCAGCAAGCGUUGUUCGGAGUUACUGGGCGUAAAGGGUGCGUAGGCGGUCCUAUAAGUAUGGUGUGAAAUCUCCCGGCUUAACUGGGAGGGUGCGCUAUAGACUGUGGGACUAGAGUGUGGGAGAGGAAAGUGGAAUUCCUGGUGUAGCGGUGAAAUGCGUAGAUAUCAGGAGGAACACCGGUGGUGUAAACGGCUUUCUGGACCAUAACUGACGCUGAGGCACGAAAGCGUGGGUAGCAAACAGGAUUAGAUACCCUGGUAGUCCACGCCCUAAACGAUGCAUUAUUUGGUGUGGGUCAUUCAGUUGAUCCGUGCCGGAGCUAACGCGUUAAAUAUGCCGCCUGGGG